CCUACGGGGGGCUGCAGUUAGGAAUCUUGCGCAAUGGGCGAAAGCCUGACGCAGCAACGCCGCGUGUGGGAUGAAGGCUUUCGGGUUGUAAACCACUUUCAGCAGGAACGAAAUUGACGGUACCUGCAGAAGAAGCUCCGGCCAACUACGUGCCAGCAGCCGCGGUAAUACGUAGGGAGCAAGCGUUGUCCGGAUUUAUUGGGCGUAAAGAGCUCGUAGGCGGUUACGUAAGUCAGGUGUGAAACCUCCAGGCUCAACCUGGAGACGCCACUUGA
Molecule: ribosomal RNA, 275 nt
Filed under: uncultured bacterium
Lineage: Bacteria
Description: partial 16S ribosomal RNA
Rfam family: Bacterial small subunit ribosomal RNA
Source: RNAcentral